GAUGAACGCUGGCGGCGUGCCUAAUACAUGCAAGUCGAGCGAACAGACGAGGAGCUUGCUCCUCUGACGUUAGCGGCGGACGGGUGAGUAACACGUGGAUAACCUACCUAUAAGACUGGGAUAACUUCGGGAAACCGGAGCUAAUACCGGAUAAUAUAUUGAACCGCAUGGUUCAAUAGUGAAAGACGGUUUUGCUGUCACUUAUAGAUGGAUCCGCGCCGCAUUAGCUAGUUGGCAAGGUAACGGCUUACCAAGGCAACGAUGCGUAGCCGACCUGAGAGGGUGAUCGGCCACACUGUAACUUAGACACGGUCCAGACACCUGCGGGAAGCACCAGUAGGGAAUCUGCCGCAAUGGGCGAAGUCCUGACGAAGCAACGCCGCGUGAAGGAUGAAGGUCUUCGGGUCGUAAAACUCUGUUAUUAGAGAAGAACAAAUGUGUAAGUAACUAUGCACGUCUUGACGGUACCUAAUCAGAAAGCCACGGCUAACUACGUG
This 497-nucleotide ribosomal RNA is filed under the name uncultured bacterium. Its description in RNAcentral is "partial 16S ribosomal RNA". It matches the Rfam family "Bacterial small subunit ribosomal RNA", at positions 28 to 507 of the family's 1533-position model. The record is from RNAcentral.